Molecule: non-coding RNA, 710 nt
Organism: Tetranychus urticae (two-spotted spider mite)
Lineage: Eukaryota; Metazoa; Arthropoda; Arachnida; Trombidiformes; Tetranychidae
Source: RefSeq, a predicted model, not a curated record
GUUUAACUUUAUUUUUCAUCAUUCAUUACUUAAACACACAAAAUAAGGACAAAAAGGAUAUUUGAGUUGAUUUAUCAUCAUGCUUACAUCGGUAUCAGAAUCUUGAAUCUUGUAAUAAGGUGAAAGAUUGAUAAACAAACCUCGCAAUUUUCAAUAUGAAUGGUGUUUCUGGAUGACUUUUGUGUAAUAACUUUAUUCAAGGAUUUAUCAAAAUAAUACAAUUACUUCCAGUCAAAUCUUAAUUAUUUAAUCAGAUCUACUCUUUAAUGUAAGUUAAGGGAGGAAGUGCAUUUCCGAUUGAAAGGUGAGUCAAUCAAAAGUGGUUUAAGGAAAGUUAAAUUUGAAUAAGUGAAUAUCAAUGAAAGGAUCCAAAAGGAGUCCUGAAAAUUUAUGGUGUCACCCAAGAAAUCAAUGGUUUGUCAAGAAGCCUGAGGGUAAAAUACGCAGCAAGAGACAACAGCAAUCAAAAAAGGUCCACCAGAUCAACAACAGCAUUUAUAAAAAGGAAACACGAAGACAUGGAAAAGAGGAAAUAUUUUCUCACUCGAUUGUAUCACAAUAUAAUUUCCCACGGGCAAAGCAUCAUCUAGCAGAUUCCUGCCAUAACCCGACUGGGCUGAGUGGUUUGGUUACCCACCCCCUAUGAGGCCAUAUUAAGCUUGGCAGGCUUAGGGUUGGUUGCAGCUAUGAUGCCGUUGAUUCGAGAUAUC